This 891-nucleotide long non-coding RNA is filed under the name Capsicum annuum. RNAcentral's name for it is "long non-coding RNA (CANN_LNC013999)". The record is from RNAcentral. Lineage: Eukaryota; Viridiplantae; Streptophyta; Magnoliopsida; Solanales; Solanaceae.
CCACCCCCCUACCCCCACCCCCAACGUUUUCUUUUACCUUUUUCUAUUCAUACAUUUUUCUUCUAUUUUCUUCCAUACCUACUAUCAAAUUUUCAUUACCACCAAAGAAUCACAAUCACUAAACUCAACCACCAAAGCAAUUACAAUUGAAAUUGUCUUCAUCAAUGGAGGUAGAAACUGUCAUCAUCAAUGGGAUAUUUGAGCAAGACAUUAAUGAUUUUUCACUAAAACUCCUAGUUGACAAGAGAGCAUUGCAGAUAAAAAUAUUAGAUCUAUAACAAUGGAUAUAAAGCUUGAGAAAAAUAAGAAAGUUGAACACUUUUGUAAAUUUGUGUGGUCAUUCACAAGUUACUCAAGAGGAGAAGCAAAUAUAGGACUCCAUUUUUUCGAAUGCAGUAAUUUGGAGAAGAUGAUUUUGAUAAGUGGGUGGGAGUGCUUGGAGAAGAUGAGUUUUGGGGUAGGGGUGAGGUGUUUGAUUAUUUUCUUAUUUAAAUUAAUAAUUUAAAAAGUAUUUGGAUAAAAAAAAUGAGGAGAAAAUGAUAAAAUUAAAUAAAAAAUAGUGAAAAUACAGCUACUACGCGCCAAACUGCGAGUGUAAUACACUCUCUUUGCUAAAUCGGCAAAAAGUGUUAAAGUGACACACUUAUGGCUACUUGAGGUGUCAAAAGUGAACAACGUCCACUUGAGGUGACUAAGUGAAAGUUCGUGCCAAGUUUAGGGGGCCUUUAUCUAAUCCAAAAUCACACUAUUCUGUUUUGUCAAAAAUCACAGUAACACCCCAUUAUAAGUGCCCAAAUGCUUAUAAAUCUCACACUACCAAUAGUCCAACAGUCAUUUCUUAAAAUAAUAUUUAACUGGCAAGUUAGAAUAGAACUCAAUUCCUAAUUUCAU